This 300-nucleotide long non-coding RNA is filed under the name Elaeis guineensis (African oil palm). RNAcentral's name for it is "long non-coding RNA (EGUI_LNC063922)". The record is from RNAcentral. Lineage: Eukaryota; Viridiplantae; Streptophyta; Magnoliopsida; Arecales; Arecaceae.
AUCUGGUAGAUAAACAGUGCCUUCACUACUCUACAGAGAGUCAAACUGCUCAUCUUUACAACAUACAUGAUAGGUGUAUAUAGAAUCUAAAAUCCAUUGCUGGAAAGAAGUAAAUGAAGGGAGGAAAACUAUUUCUCUUUAGAAGGCUCAGGUUGUAUCUAAAAUUUUUUUAUUAAUCUACAUAAAUAAGAAUCAAAUUCUUACCUGAUUAGCAAUGGAACAAGAGAUCAAAUCUAAAAUAAUCUGAUAUAAACCUUCAUGGAGGUCUGGAUGUACAGAUCCUCUACUUCGCAUGCACGC